GUAGUCAUAUGCUUGUCUCAAAGAUUAAGCCAUGCAUGUCUAAGUAUAAGCAAUUAUACCGUGAAACUGCGAAUGGCUCAUUAAAUCAGUUAUCGUUUAUUUGAUAGUACCUUACUACUUGGAUAACCGUGGUAAUUCUAGAGCUAAUACAUGCUGAAAACCCCAACUUCGGAAGGGGUGUAUUUAUUAGAUAAAAAACCAAUGCCCUUCGGGGCUCCUUGGUGAUUCAUAAUAACUUCUCAGAUCGCAUGGCCUCGCGCCGGCGACGGUUCAUUCAAAUUUCUGCCCUAUCAACUUUCGAUGGUAAGGUAUUGGCUUACCAUGGUUUCAACGGGUAACGGGGAAUUAGGGUUCGAUUCCGGAGAGGGAGCCUGAGAAACGGCUACCACAUCCAAGGAAGGCAGCAGGCGCGCAAAUUACCCAAUCCCGACACGGGGAGGUAGUGACAAUAAAUACUGAUACAGGGCUCUUUUGGGUCUUGUAAUUGGAAUGAGUACAAUUUAAACCUCUUAACGAGGAACAAUUGGAGGGCAAGUCUGGUGCCAGCAGCC
This 551-nucleotide ribosomal RNA is filed under the name uncultured eukaryote. RNAcentral's name for it is "SSU rRNA". It matches the Rfam family "Eukaryotic small subunit ribosomal RNA", at positions 20 to 575 of the family's 1831-position model. The record is from RNAcentral.